RNAcentral lists this long non-coding RNA (13150 nucleotides) under Setaria italica (foxtail millet). Its description in RNAcentral is "long non-coding RNA (SITA_LNC006035)". Lineage: Eukaryota; Viridiplantae; Streptophyta; Magnoliopsida; Poales; Poaceae. The record is from RNAcentral.
UUGAUCUGAACUUUUAUUAGCCAUCCACAUCUCACUCUUGCAAUUUACAGAUGGAGGGAACAAAAAUUCGAACUCAGCAGCAGCUUGACAGAACUUUGGAGGACACAAAUCUGAAUAUUCCAUCAAUGGUGCCUCCCGUCUUUGAACAAAUGUAGAAUGAAGAAGGUAUGAACUGUGAAAACUUUACCCACGGUGAAAAAGUGCAUAGUGUACAUGAUGAUUGUUGAAUGUAUACUAGUACAAAGUAACAGACAUUUAGGGCCUGUUGGCUCCAAGGUGCUAAAGUUUAGCACCCGUCACAUUGGAUGUUUGAAUACUAAUUAGGAGUAUUAAACAUAGGAUAAUUACAAAACUAAUUGCACAGAUGUAGUCUAAUUCGCGAGACGAAUCUAUUAAGCCUAAUUAGUCCAUGAUUUGACAAUGUGGUUCUUCCUGUAAUCAUUUGGUAAUGAUGGAUUAAUUAGGCUUAAUAGAUUCGACUCGCGAAUUAGACUCCAUCUGUGCAAUUAGUUUUGUAAUUAGCUCAUGUUUAGUCCUCCUAAUUAGCAUCCGAAUAUCCGAUGUGACACUGCUAAAGUUUAGCACAUGGUAUCAAACACCUCUUUGUAUUUCUGUGGCAGGUACUGACGGGCAUAGUAAGCUAUUGGACAAGGAGCUGAUGGCUAGUACCAAAAGGAUCUGUCCAGCAAAAAGAAAUGCAGAUGUGCUCCUCACGGACAACACUGCUACCCAAGAAGUCAAAAACAGCCAUCUUACGGGACCACCAACCCCGCCACACUUAAUCGUCUAGCUCAACAGGAUGGCAGUAACAUCCUGAUGUUUCGCAAACUAGCAGAAAGUAUAACGGAACUAGGCAUAGUAGACAGCAUGUAAACAUUCACGGACAAGAUCGAUGAACUUCUCUUUCUCGAGGAAAAUGGAUUCAGCGUGCAAGAAUUGCUGCACUGGCUGAAUGAACUGAUCAAGAUCAAAUCAGCUGAUUAUACAAAAAAUCUUGAAGGGAAACGCACACUAGUAGAGAAUUGACUUUCGAUCCGACCCCUUUUGUCCCGGUUUAAAGUUGGCCCGGGACAAAAGGGGGUGCGCAGGGGUGGGGAAAAUUAGAGGGGAGCAUUACUCCCGGUUGGUAAUUGCAACCGGGACUAAAGGCCCCCCUUUAGUCCCGGUUGCAACGGCUAGCUGGGGGGCGUCGGUGGCGGGACCCUUUUAUCGGUUGGAGGAUCCAACCGGGAUAAACUUCCAACCGGGACAAAAGGUGUUUCCUUUUGUCUCGGUUGGAGUUUUUAACCGGGAUAAAAACUCAUCCCCCACUAUAUCCCGAGACAGAGACUUUCUUCUUCCUCCAGCCCGAGCCAGUCCAACACAUUGAUAGAGAGCUGAGCUUCACCUACUCUCCGGUGGUGCUAAAGCAAGGGAGGUGCUGCCCGAAGUUUUUUCCCUCAUUUUCGUGGGAAUUUGACUCAGCCAACACAAGUGUUGCGAAGGUUUGCUACUUCAUCCUCGUGUUAUGCUUUGAUUUAUGCUUUGGAGAUGGAAAGAUUAUUUGCUACAAUGUGAUGAUGAAGUAGAAAAAUGGAGAGGUAUUUUGAGCUAGAAUGUGAGAGAGAUUGAUGUGUCAUAUAUAGUAUGCAUUAUUUCAGUGGUUUAAAAAUGAUGCUACCUUGUCUAGACGGUUUAUCUUAUCAAAUUCAAUAUGGUUUUUUAAAUCCAUAUACUUGUUGAACUUGCAUACCGUGUUCAUUUCGGCGAGAAUGUUCUCCGCCGAGCAGCAACGUAUGUUAAGAUGGAGGUUCGAUUCUACGAGAAAGAGUGGAUAUGGACAUCGUGACCGUGUCCCCUUUUCCGUAGCAUCUAACCUCUUUCAUGACGAAGUGCGGUGCCGCCCAGCUGAGGACAUCCUCGCGAAAUGAACACGGUCUUCAAGUUCAACAACUUCUGUAGUGGUAAGAAAAGAAUUUUUGUACAUAGAUAACUUCUGCUACUUGUUGAACUUGCAUACCGUGUUCAUCUCGCCGAGGAUGUUCUCCGCCGAGCAGCAACGUAUGUCAAGAAGGAGGUUCGAUUCUACGAGAAAGAGUGGAUACGGACAUCGUGACCGUGUCCCCUUUUCCGUAGCAUCUAACCUCUUUAAUGACGAAGUGCGGUGCCGCCCAGUUGAGGACAUCCUCGCGAGAUGAUCACGGUCUUCAAGUUGAACAACUUAUGCAGUGUUAAGAUAAUAAUUUUUGUACAUAGAUGGCUUCUGCUACUGGAGGAAGUGGCGAUGGUGGGGGCGAUCGUGGUUCCUAUUAUGGCAAGGUUCCAAUCAUAGUUGGCCCUCAGCAUAAGCCGAAGAAAAAGAGCGCGCUGGAAAAAGCAAUGCUUCGUUAUUUGCAGCAACGUCAUGAAGAAGCUGUUGCCGCGGGUCAGGAACCUUCUUUUGGUGGUCGUUAUGCUCCACCCUCAGUCCCGGGUGUUUCACGUCCACUUAGUACUACCGUUUCAGGCGGCACAAAUAAACCUAAGGAUGAGGUUGGGUCAGCGGAACCUUCGUCUUCACCGUCCAAGGAUGCUUAAAGUCCUCCGUGAUAAUAACCAGUGGAUGGCUUAUUGUAUUGUAUCAUGUUGUUUGAGACUUUAAUUUAAAUAUGUGUAUUUGGAUCUUCAUGUUGUUGUAUUGUACCAUGUUGUUUGGAUCUUUAAUCGAUUUUCACGCGUAAUCCAUUGUCAAGUGUAAUCCAUUUUCAUGCGUAAUACGAUGCAGAUGGACCGGCAAUGGAUGUAUAAUGCAGACAUGCGGAGCAAGGCGUUUAUUGAUGGCUUGCAUUAUUUUCUCGAAGUGGCAAAAGCGAACAAGCCAGAGAAUGGGUUCGUAUGUUGUCCAUGCUUCCAAUGCAAUAACAGGAAGGAGUAUUCAAAGGAUUCCUGGGGGACUAUUCACAGCCACUUGUUUAAAUACGGUUUCAUGCCUAACUAUUUGGUUUGGACCAAGCACGGUGAACUAGGGGUUGUAAUGGAAGAUGGCGAGGAGGAGGAGGAAGAUGACACCAUUCCAGACUGGGUUGCAGACCAAGCUUUUGCAGGUACUACAAUGGGCGAGGCCUAUGAAGAUGAGUUUGCAGAAAAUGACCCUACUGAUGACCUUGGUCAGGUGAUACGAGAUGCAUACAGAGAUUGCGAAACUGAGAAGGAAGCAGCAAAGUUGCAGCGCAUGAUAGAUGAUCACCAAAAAUUGUUGUACCCAGGUUGCCCGCAGGGCCAUAAAAAACUAGGUACGACACUAGAAUUUGUGCAAUGGAAGGUAAAAAAUGGUGUGUCCGAUAAGGCAUUUCAGGGGAUGUUGAACAUUGUCAAGAAGAUUCUCCCCGAGAAUAAUGAAUUACCGUCCACAACAUAUGAAGCUAAACAGAUUAUUUGCCCUCUCGGAUUGGAUGUUCAGAAGAUACACGCAUGCCCUAAUGACUGUAUCCUCUAUCGUGGUGAUGAAUACGAGAAAUUGGAUGCUUGUCCCGUCUGCGAAGCCCUGCAGUAUAAGAUCAGGCGAGAUGAUCCUGGUGAUGUCGAGGGGCAGUCUCCCAAGAAGAGAGUUCCCGCGAAGGUGAUGUGGUAUUUCCCUAUAAUACCACGCUUGAAGCGCUUGUUCAGGAACAAGGCGAAUGCUAAGUUGAUGCGAUGGCACAAAGAAGACCGUAAGGAAGAUAAGAUGCUGAGACACCCCGCAGAUGGGGCACAGUGGAGAUCAAUUGAUAGAACAUUCCCAGACUUUGAAAGUGAAGCAAGGAACAUAAGGUUUGGUUUAAGCACUGAUGGAUUCAAUCCAUUCGGUGAGUUGAGUAGUGGUCACAGUACUUGGCCUGUGACCCUUUGUAUGUUCAACCUUCCUCCUUGGCUGUGCAUGAAGCGGAAGUUCAUUAUGAUGCCGGCGCUUAUCCAAGGCCCAAACCAACCCGGCAACGACAUUGACGUGUACCUAAGGCCGUUGGUUGAUGACCUUUUACAGCUCUGGAAGGAAGAAGGUGUACGUGUGUGGGAUGAGGAUAGACAAGAGAUCUUUAAUCUACGAGCACUGUUGUUCGUAACCAUCAACGAUUGGCCUGCAUUGAGUAACCUUUCAGGACAGACAAAUAAGGAAUAUCGGGCAUGCACCCACUGUUUAGACGACACAGACAGCAUGUACUUGAAGCACUGUAAGAAGGUCGUCUAUAUGGGUCAUCGUCGAUUUCUCCCUGCUCACCACCAGCUGAGAAAGAGCGGGAUGCAUUUCAAAGGGACGCCAGACCAUCGUAAAAAACCUGCACACCGUAAUGGAAAGCGUGUGUUCGAGAUGAUGAAGGAUGUAUAUGUAGUCUUCGGAAAGGGACUUGGUAGCCAACCUGUAUCGAACGACGAUAACGGACAUGCACCCAUGUGGAAGAAAAAGUCAAUAUUUUGGGAACUACCUUAUUGGGAAAUCCUAGAGGUUCGCAACGCAAUAGACGUGAUGCACCUGACGAAGAAUCUUUGCGUGAACGUGCUAGGCUUCAUGGGUGUUUAUGGAACCUCAAAAGAUACAUUGGAAGCACGAUAGGACCUGAAAGCCAUGGGGCAACGAGAUGACCUACAUCCGGAAAAGAGAGAUAAUGGACAGCACUACUUACGUCCUGCCAGUUACACUCUCAGCAAGGAAGAGAAGGAUAGCAUGUUUGAAUGCUUGAAUAGUAUGAAGGUCCCGUCUGGGUACUCCUCGAAUAUAAAGGGAAUAAUAAAUAUGAAACAAAAGAAGUUUACAAAUCUCAAGGCUCAUGACUGCCACAUGUUGAUGACCCAGUUGCUUCCGGUUGCACUGAGGGGUGUUCUACCAGAAAAUGUCCGGUUGCCGCUCGUAAAGCUAUGCGCGUUUCUCAAUGCGAUUUCGCAGAAGGCAAUCGAUCCAUCCAAGCUAUCAAAGCUACAAAACGAUGUGGUGCAAUGUCUUGUCAGUUUUGAGUUGUUAUUCCCACCAUCCUUCUUCAAUAUUAUGAUGCACUUACUGGUUCACCUAGUAAAAGAGAUUGGUAUUCUCGGACCUGUAUACCUGCACAAUAUGUGGCCUUUCGAGAGGUUCAUGGCAGUCCUAAAAAACUAUGUUCUUAAUCGUGCCCGUCCAGAAGGAAGCAUCGCCAGGGGAUAUGGAACAGAGGAGGUGAUCGAGUUUUGUGUUAAUUUUAUUUAUUCAAUUGACUCGAUUGGGGUUCCAACUUCACACCACGAGGGGAGGCUCCGAGGAAUGGGCACCCUUGGAAGGAAAUCAAGUUUGAGCAAUGAUACUGAUUUGUUCGACAAGGCACACUACACUGUUCUACAAUAGUCAUCCUUUGUGUCUCCGUAUAUCGAGCAGCACAGGCAGAUGGUAGCUUCCAAAAACCCGACCAAAUCCGAUGCUUGGCUUACCCGUCAUCACAUGGAAACUUUUCCCUCCUAGUUGCGCCAACAACUUAUGGGUAACUCUGAGAUUCACCCACAGCUUGCCUGGUUAGCCAGGGGACCUGCUACCACAAUCAUCAAAUUCCAAGGCUAUGAGAUAAAUGGUUACACAUUUUACACGAGAGCCCAGGACCAGAAAAGCACGAACCAGAAUAGUGGUGUCCGCAUAGAUGCCAUGGACAGAAAUAAUAGCAAGGAGUCGUAUUAUGGUUUCAUACAGGAGAUAUGGGAACUCGAAUACGGACCGCUGUACAUCCCUCUAUUUCUUUGCAAUUGGGUGAAGCUAACUGUCGUCACCAAAGAUCAGUACGGAAUGACAAUAGUAGAUCUGAGCAAGACUGGAUACAGUGAUGACCCAUUCGUACUUGCCAAUGAUGUGCAUCAGGUGUUCUAUGUGAAGGACAUGUGCAGCAAACCCAAGAGGAAUCCAGAAGAGACAUGGGAGCCAAAGUGCCACAUAGUUCUUUCAGGUAAAAGAAAAAUCAUGGGAGUCGAGGAUAAAACAGACCAAUCAGAUGAUUAUGAUCAGUUUGAUGGCAUGCCUCCAUUCGCCGUUGAAGUUGAUCCAAGCAUCCUGCUAUCCAAAGAAGAGGCUCCGUACUUACGCCGCGAGCAUGAUCAAGGAACUUUCGUGAAGAAGAAAUUUUACAACGUUGUAUUGUAAUGCGUUAAAUGUACAUGACCUUUGUGUAUUAAUUGAUACAAUUUGUCAUUUACCCUAUGUAUGAUUUCAUGUGUUAUUAAAUUUGUUAGGUGAAGAUUUUUUAGAUAAACAUGAACAUUGUUAACCACAUACUAACAUGGAUUUUUCUGCGCAUUCAAAUAAUUUAAUUGAAUAAUUUCUUGAUCACAGCAAUGCAGUAAAAUAAAUAUUUUACAGGCUAGAUGAGUUGGUAUAAAAUUAAUGAUUACUUCAUACUUAUUGUCAAUUUACUCGUUAAUUAAAUAUAUUUUUGCAUGUACAGAAUCUGUGAAGGUUUUGUUUUUCAUCCUGAAAUGCAGUGAAAAGGUAAAAUAAAAUCCAUUUCCAAAAAACAGGCGGGAGAAGAAAAAUAGGAAAAAAGACAUUUUGUCCCGGGUGCUAACAGCAACCGGGACAAAAGGCCCCCCUUUUAUCCCGGUUGCAAACGACAACCGGGAUAAAAGGGUACGUUUCGUCUCCCGCCCGAACGUACCCUUUUUAUCCCGGUUGCCAACUGCAACCGGGAUAAAAGGCCCCCCUUUUAUCCCGGUUGGUGACGGGACCUGGGAUAAAAGGCUCUUUUGUCCCGGGUCCCAUUACGAACCGGGAUAAUAGGGGGGGGUUAAAAGGCACUGUACUCCCUUCUACCCCCCGCCAGUUACACACUUAGCCAAAAUUUCGCCAAGUCCCGCGCGUUCUCCGCCGUCGCCGCCCGUCCGCCUCCCUCGCCGGCCGCCGCCGUCGUCGUCCCCCAUUGCGCCGUUGACGUCCCCCAUUGCGCCGUCGUCGUCCCCCGGCCGGCCCGCCUGGAUCCCCUCCUCGUCCGUCGACGCGCCCGGCCCCCGGCCACCUCGUCGCCUCCGGCCACCGGCUCCACAUCCUCGUCGCUGGCUCCAUCCUCGUCGCCCCUCGUCGCCGUCUCGUCGCCGUCCCGCCUACGCCGCCGUCGUCGUCGUCGCCUCGGCAGCUGCCAUCCUCGCCGCCCCGGCCGCCGCCGUCCCGCCGACCCGGCCGCCGCCAUCCCGCCGCCCCGGCCGUUGCCCUGCGCGCGAGAGGUCUGCUGCCGCGCCGGCCGGGGCGCCGGGAGGGUUUUCUUUUUAAGUUAUAAAAUUAUGUUUUAUUUUUAGAUAGAUUUCUAAUUUUGUUAAGUUAGAUUUUUAGAUUUCUAAUUUUGUGAAGUUAGAUUUUUAGAUUUCUAGUUAGUUUGUUAAGUUAGAUUUCUAGUUAGUUUGUUAAGUUAGAGUUGAUACAGAGAAAAUGAAGUUAGAAAUUCGUAGGAUGCAUCGCCGUCCCCUCCGCCGAGUAGCCGCCGUGAUCGCUGCCGUGAUCGCCGCCGUCCCGCCGCCCAUCACAACGUAGUAGGCACCGCCCGUGGUUCCGGUGAACCGUCCCCGCCUCCGUCUUACCGCCGUCCUGACCGCCGCCGUCCCGCCUCCGCCGCCCUGAUCGCCGCCGUCACAAUCUAGGCACCGCACGUGGAUAUUGUUACAAAUUCGUAGAAAUUCGUCAAAAUUCGUAGAAAUUCGUAGAAAUUCGUCAAAAUUCGUAGAAAUUCGUAGAAAUUUGUAGAAAUUCAUAGAAAUUCGUAGAAAUUUGUAGAAAUUCAUAGAAAUUUGUAGAAAUUCGUACAAAUUCGUACAAAUUCGUAGAAAUUUGUAGAAAUUCGUAGAAAUUUGUAGAAAUUCAUAGAAAUUUGUAGAAAUUCGUCAAAAUUCAUAGAAAUUUAUAGAAAUUCAUAGAAAUUUGUAGAAAUUCAUAGAAAUUUGUAGAAAUUCGUCAAAAUUCAUAGAAAUUUGUAUAAAUAUUCCGGACUUUGUACGAUUCAUGUUAUUUUAUGAUUUCAUUAUAUACAUGUAUGAUUCCGGACUUUGUAGGACUUUGUACAAAUUUGUAGUAAGAUGAUUUCUAUGACUGUCAUGUAUGAUUCCAUGUAUGUCUCCAUCAAUAGUUGAAAUGGCAGACGAUGAGACCGCAAGGUAUAUCAUGGAGCAGAUAAUCGCUGGUGAUGGUAGUGGCGACAACGUUCCACUAUCAUACACGGAUGAAGAGGGCACCCAAGCGGACAUGUUCCUCAACAUGUCCGCCGAUGGGAAUGAAGAGCAAUAGCCGCAGCAACAACUUGCCGUGGCGGAAGGUUCCAGCGAGGUAUAUACAACCAUUCUUGUAUUGUUUCACGCCACCGCUACUACUACGUACUAAUUAACGAAUCUUCAACUGUUAGCCCUCCGGAUCGACACAAGGGCAGAAGACCCGAGGUCGUACAAAGGUGAUGGAAGGGAGGCUUGUCAUCACCGAAGUUACAGAAGAGGGCAGGCCGGUUGCUCCCGAGAAAGUAGCAAAGAAGUACGUGAGUCAAAUCAGGGCAAUCGUCCGGGACAACGUGCCAAUCAGCAUCAGAGAAUGGAAGGGCAGAAGCGAUAAUCCGUACGCCCUUCCAGAGACAGAAAAGAAUAUGCUGUGGGAAGACGUGAAGAGACAUUUCACAUUCCCCGAAGGAUAUAGUGAGAAGGAUGUCAAAGCGUGGACGCUUAAGAAGAUGGCUACUCAAUUCCAGACAUUCAAGAAGAUGCUGGACACCCACUACAUCAAGAAGGGCAAAACUCCAGACUUCAACGCGUGGCCAAAGUUGAGGGACCACUGGGAUGCAUUUGUUGAAUACAAGAGGAGUGAAGAAGGUGUGAAAAAGAUCACGACCAACACAGCAAAUGCUAGUCAGAAGGGCUACCACCAUCAUUUGGGGCGAGGUGGGUAUGGCUCAGUAAUUCCCAAGUGGAGGAAGAUGGAACAAGAUCUGAUCGAACGGGGAAUCGUACCUGCAACUACUGAAUGGCCCGAACGAUCAAAGAACUGGUACUACGCUCAUGGAGGCUCCCAAAGCCAAGAGGAUGGGACGUUGAUUUUCAAUGACACAAUACGUGAGAAGGCCGAACAUCUCAUGAAGAACAUUGAAGAUUCCAAGGCUGGGAGGUUGAGGGUGGACCGAGAAAAUGAUGAGCUCACAUUGGCCCUCGGUAAUCCAGAGCACCCAGGACGUUGCCGGGGGUUCGGGGUGGUUCCGUGGAAGUUCGCUUUCUGAGGCGACAGCGCCUCUUACAGAAGCCGGAAGCGAAGAAAGGAACAGAUCGAGGAGAGCUGGCGGCAGAUGCUAGAACAAAGAAUGAUGGAUGAAAUCAAUCGGCGGGUGGCCGACGCAGUUGCGGAGUUGGCCCAAUCUGGAGCAAUGCCGAAUCCUAACACCGCCAGCCCUUCUCAACGCCUCGGUAGCAGUUGUGCUUCUACAGGGGUCCCCGAUGCGAAAACGCCCAGGUUACCCAUGGAGGAGCAACGGUUCCCCGUGGAUGCCAUCACGCAACGGACCUCAUGUGAGCUGCAUGCACCGGUCGGCAACCUCACUAUUAAGGUAUACUUAUACAUAAUAUUUAUGCAAUCUUGUCAAUUGAUCCAGGCCUCGAGAUCGGAGUUCAACUUGUUUACUUCUGCUAUAUGUACAGGUAGCGUACGGGAGUGCGUUAGCAACCCUGGCAGGGCAGAGCAGUGAUGGCAUGGACAUUCCAACAGGCUACGCCAGCGUCUGCGUCGAGCAAAUAGUUAAUCCCCAGUAUGAAGGUCUAGAGCUCGACUUCCCGGGAGGCGACGGGAAAAAGACAUUGGCAGAUGCGCUUCAUGGGAUCAUUCUAUGGAAGAAACGCUACAUCAUUAUUCCCAGCACGGAGCCAUCUCCUCAGACCUCAAGACCGCUCCCCGUAGAUCCCCAGCAGCGACCUUCUCCUCAUACCUCGAGACCGGCAUCUCCUGCUCCAGGACCGUCCCUUCCAUCUAUAUCAAGGUCUCCAUCUCCACCACAUCCUGGUGCUGGGAGCGACGACGACAAUAACAACACCCCUCCCCGAUCACCGUCGCCGGCACCAAGAGCGGCCCCCUUGAAGGAACCUGCAGCACCACUAAAGAAGUCAUGAGCACCGCCUGCCAAGCAAAGACAGAGAAAGAAGAAAACAAAGGACCCUGAAGUGGCUCGUAAGGAACGCUGGGAGGCAAUGUCUCAUGAAGAACAGUGGGCAGAAAUCCAACGAGAGGCCAGUGAGUGGUUCAAGAAACAAGCCGAAUUAAAAAAGGCAAGGGAGAUGGAGCCACCGCCAGUAAGUCGGCGAGAUUUAAACUUUUUUAUCAGGAUGGAAGAAGGAGCCAAGAAAAGGAUACCACUCUUGUCAAACUAUGAACGGGCUCUAGUAAAGGCUGAUGAAAAGGAUAAAAGGAAAGGAAAAUCAUCCUCCAGCGGUCCAGUCCCCGACCUCAGCCAUUUAUCAAAAAAAGAUGCUCAACGGGUAAAAGCAAUGCCCUUGGAUCAACAAGCAAAUGUAUUGAAGUUCAUGGAAGAAACAGGUCUGGGACUUGAUGAAUGCAUAGGGCAAGUUGAGACGCCAACUGCACCGCCCCCUGAGCCGAAGUGGACUUAUGAGCUAGGCAAACCUCUAGUAAAGCCUUCAAUGGUACGGAAGCUAUCAACAAAGAUGUACGAAUUCCAUCAAUGGUACAUGAUGGCAUCCGCCAACUCGAGGGAGAUGAUCGGCAUGAAGGUAAAACCGAUAGAUUUUCACGGUGAAGGGGAGCAAGUGCUGUGGCUAGACUUCAAGGAUAUAUACGAAGUGUACCAUCAUGAUGCCCUGGACGUCUCUCUGAUCAGCGCUUGGAUUCUGUAAGUGUCCGUUUAUUAUCUCUACAUGUAAAUUUUGGCGUGCGUCACCGUACUAACUUCAUCUUCCAUUUCAUGUAGGAUGCUAAUUCAGACAUGCCGCCGAGAGGCGUACCUACAUGUAGGCUUCAUGGAUCCAUCUGUAGUUAACCAACAACAGAUACAAUUAGCGCCGGAAAAAACCUUUGCGGAACUAUACAAUUUCCUACACAAACAAACAUUCAAGGAUUUCAUACUACUUCCAUACAACUUCAAGUAAGUGUGUGUAUACCGUCUACUUUCGAUGUCUUUUUCCUUAUCUCUACAUGUUAGUUAGCUCUAAUAUGCAUGAACAUUUUACGCACGCAGCUUCCACUGGAUCCUUAUUAUAAUUGAGCCUGAAAGAAGCCACGUCACUGUCUUUAAUUCGUUAAGGAAAGAUCUGGUGGACUACCAAGAAUUGCAAGACAUGCUAGGCUUGUAAUAAUUAUGGACCUUUAUCUCUAUGCAAAAAUUUAUUUCCUAAAUUUUAUCCCUGUUACACUAUGUCAUUCAUUAUUCUAAUCCGCAGCGCAUGGAAACAAUUCAUAAGGACACACAAAGGUCCAUUCAAAGAAAAUCUUACAUGGAACACAGACUUCCCGGUACGUAUGCAGUCUGCACAUUUAUUACAUUGUAUAACAUGAAUAUUUCAUAACUUAUUUUUUUCCGCACUGAAGUGUUUAAGACAGGAACCCGGGAAUAAUCUAUGUGGCUACUACAUCUGUGAGCACAUGCACAGUUUUUUGGGACCCAAGGGACCGAAGAUGACGCCGCACAACUUUAAAGUACGUAAAAUAAAUAUAUUACUAGUUAAUUAUUUUCUAGCUCCUUAUAUGUAUUUGUUCAUGUAACAUUCACAAAUUUCCAAAUUAUAGAUGUUAAAUAUUCAACAAGGACUCUUGAAGGAAGAAAGAGUAGCGGCAAUAUGUGAAGGUCUCAUUGGAUUCAUAAUGGACGAGGUGGUAAAUCCAAGAGGAGAAUUUUAUUACGAUGGACGACAAUUAGACACUCCGAUCAGCAACACCACGACGGGAAGAUCGUAGGAAGAUACUUUGAUUUAUUUGUAUAUAUAAUACGCGCUAAUUAUAUGAUCGAUUUGUACUAAGCUAGUUGAAUUGUGUAUAUGAAUUGUGUAUAAGGAUUGUGUAUAUAUAUAGUAAUUGUAUAAUUACAAAUCCCAUUCGUUUAAAUACUAGUUGAUUUCGUUCUAAAAAAAUCUCAACUACAAGGUUAACAAAUUAAAAGGGCCGCGGUACUACGUAUACGUGAUGCAUGCAUGAAAAAUUCAGGCGUCACGGCAGUGCCAUGCAAGCGCCAUUUAGUCCCGGUUGGAAUCGAACCGGGACUAAAGGGGACCCCUUUAGUCCCGGUUGGGAAAUCCAACCGGGACUAAAGGGGGUCCUUUACUCCCGGUUAAAAGACCCGGGACUAAAGACCCCCCUUUUGUCCCGGUUGGUUUAUCCCGGAUGGAUAUCCGAGAGAUAUGCACCCUACCAACCGGGACUAAAGGCCAAUUCUCUACCAGUGGCAAGCUGAACGUGAAGAGACUUGAGAAGGAACCUUCCUUGGCACAAAUGGAUUUAUUGCUUCAGGAGAACUAUAAAGCUCUAGCGGGGCUUGAGAUGAAACUUGUGCAACUUCGCUGGAAACGAAAACGGAUUGUAAAGGAGAUAGAACGUGGAGAAGCAGAACUUUCAAGACUGGAAGAUGCUGGCAGGAGCAUGAAGAAAGCACUACAUGAUGACGAAAAGAUUGGCAGCAUCCUGGCUGAGCUGCACCAGAAGCUUAUGGCUUAAUAUGAGUUGGCCAUUCUCUUUGAUGUGUUUAGCUUGACAUCGUAUUGAGCAUUCUCCUGGGCUAGCUGUAGCUAGCUUAUAAGUUUGUCUAUGUGUCAUUGUAUUUUGGAUGAAUUUCGUUGGAUUAUCUGCUAAAUUUUAUUUACUACAAAUUGCUCUUGAUGUCAUGAUUAUGGAUGCUUGAUGCAAUUUAAAAAACCAAUUUGCUAGUUGGAUAUACUUAUUGUCUUGUUAAUGUGCUGAAUACGCACGCAACUUAUUUUUUCAGAAUUUUCUGGCCAUUGAUUUGCUUCAAUCUGUUAAAUUCUGCAACUGGGUCUUGUAUAACAUGGUACUGCAAUAUUAACUUAUAAUACAUAUGUGUUGUGUAGAUGAGAUGGUAAGAAACUCACCAGGUACAAAAUGUCCGCUCUCCAUCGGUGAGGGUUCAUAACUUGAGCCCAAUGCAAGUGAGGAGUCGGAGGACACCUCUUAAUUCUUAAGCCCCUCCAUUUUUCUGGGCAUGGAAGGAAGUAAGAGUGUGCUAGAGGUAGAAGAAAU